GACGAACGCUGGCGGCGUGCCUAAUACAUGCAAGUAGAACGCUGAAGGAGGAGCUUGCUUCUCUGGAUGAGUUGCGAACGGGUGAGUAACGCGUAGGUAACCUGCCUGGUAGCGGGGGAUAACUAUUGGAAACGAUAGCUAAUACCGCAUAAUAGUAGAUGUCGCAUGACAUUUGCUUAAAAGGUGCAAUUGCAUCACUACCAGAUGGACCUGCGUUGUAUUAGCUAGUUGGUGAGGUAACGGCUCACCAAGGCAACGAUACAUAGCCGACCUGGGAGGGUGGUCGGCCACACGGGGAAUGAGAAACGGCCCAGACUCCUUCGGGAGGCCGCAGUAGGGGAUCUUCGGCAAUGGGCGGAAGGCUGACCGAGCAACGCCGCGUGGGUGGAGAAGGUUUUCGGGUCGUAAAGCUCUGUUGUAAGGGAAGAACGAGUGUGAGGGUGGAAAGUUCACACUGUGACGGUAUCUUACCAGAAAGGGACGGCUAACUACGUG
This 495-nucleotide ribosomal RNA is filed under the name uncultured bacterium. RNAcentral's name for it is "partial 16S ribosomal RNA". It matches the Rfam family "Bacterial small subunit ribosomal RNA", at positions 28 to 507 of the family's 1533-position model. The record is from RNAcentral.